UACGAAGGGGGCUAGCGUUGUUCGGAAUUACUGGGCGUAAAGCGCGCGUAGGCGGUUAUUUAAGUUAGACGUGAAAGCCCUGGGCUUAACCUGGGAAUUGCGUUUGAUACUGGAUAGCUAGAGUUUGUGAGAGGGUAGCGGAACUCCCAGUGUAGAGGUGAAAUUCGUAGAUAUUGGGAAGAACACCGGUGGCGAAGGCGGCUACCUGGCGCAACACUGACGCUGAGGCGCGAAAGCGUGGGGAUCAAACAGG
This 253-nucleotide ribosomal RNA is filed under the name uncultured bacterium. RNAcentral describes it as "partial 16S ribosomal RNA". It matches the Rfam family "Bacterial small subunit ribosomal RNA", at positions 524 to 776 of the family's 1533-position model. The record is from RNAcentral.